Long non-coding RNA from Neltuma alba, 132 nucleotides. RefSeq lists it as uncharacterized. The record is from RefSeq and is a predicted model, not a curated record. NCBI's taxonomy places the organism in Eukaryota, Viridiplantae, Streptophyta, Magnoliopsida, Fabales, Fabaceae. The transcript has 2 exons.
CAAGAAGAGCAAAGGCAAUCGGAGGAGAGAAUCGAUUUAUACCAAAGUGGAAAUCAAACAAGGAUUUGAUAUUUGUUUGAAUCCAUUAAGAAAGGAGCCAAGAAGGAGACAAGGGGAAGGGAGUACGGAAGA